This is a non-coding RNA of Oryctolagus cuniculus (rabbit), 3296 nucleotides long. The record is from RefSeq and is a predicted model, not a curated record. NCBI's taxonomy places the organism in Eukaryota, Metazoa, Chordata, Mammalia, Lagomorpha, Leporidae.
CGGCCGCGGCUGCCCCUCCCCCCGCCGCUCGCCGCGCACGCGGGGCACCGGUCGCGGCUCCUCGGCUGCCGCGGUGUGUGUGGUAGCCAUGGACUCCCCGUGGGACGAGCUGACGCUGGCUUUCUCCCGCACGUCCAUGUUCCCUUUUUUUGACAUCGCCCACUAUCUAGUGUCCUUGAUGGCUCUGAAGCGUCAGCCGGGAGCAGCGGCAGUGGCAUGGAAGAAUCCAGUUUCAAGCUGGUUUACUGCUAUGCUCCACUGCUUUGGUGGGGGAAUUCUAUCCUGUAUACUGCUUGCAGAGCCUCCGUUGAGGUUUCUUGCAAACCACACUAAUAUUUUGCUGGCAUCUUCAAUCUGGUAUAUUAUAUUUUUUUGCCCAUACGACCUAGUUUCUCAGGGCUACUCAUUCCUACCUGUUCAACUCCUGGCUGCGGGAAUGAAGGAAGUGACCAGAACUUGGAAAAUAGUAGGUGGAAUCACACAUGCUAAUAGCUAUUACAAAAAUGGCUGGCUAGUCAUGAUAGUUAUUGGAUGGGCCAGAGGUGCAGGUGGUACCAUUGUCACAAAUUUUGAGCAGUUAAUAAAAGGAUAUUGGAAGCCAGAAAGUGAGGAAGAAUGGCUGAAGAUGACCUACGCUUCUAAGGUAACACUCCUGGGGUCAGUCAUCUUCACAUUCCAGCACACCAAGCAUCUGGCAAUAUCAAAGCAUAAUCUUAUGUUCCUUUAUACCAUUUUUCUUGUGACCACAAAGAUAACCAUGAUGAUUACAGAGACUUCUACUGUGACUCUGGCUCCCUUUGAGGAUACAUUGAGUCGGAUGCUGUUUGGCUGGCAGCAGCAAUUUUCAUCAUUUGAAAAGAAAAGUGAAACAAAACCGUCUUCCAAUGGCACUGGGUCAUCAGCCUCAAAACCUGUAGCUGAUGCUUCAGAUAACGUUAAAAAGAAACAUACUAAGAAGACUGAGUAAAUUUACCUUAUAUGAACUCUAGAAAGCAAAAUUUUUUUUUCUUAUCUACCUACCAGAUUGUGAUAAUAUUUCUGCGUGAAUGAUGUGAAAUAAAGAUUACAUGUAAGGAAUGGAGUGAAAACUACCUUCAUGUGAAAAUACUUGGCUGUAAUGAGAAUUGUUUUUGGAUAUUUGAUAAUAACCAGCUAACUGAGAAAGAGCAGAGAAAGCAAAACUUCCUACUAUGUUAGACCAUUUGAAUGAAGAACAGUGGCAUUAAAUCAGGUUACUUAUUGGCGGAAUAAAAAGGAAACAAGAAAAGGUAUUAAUUUGAUGUUAGAUUUUUUUUGCUUUUUAAGUCCAGAUAAAACAUUAGACCUCUAUGACAUUUCUUCUAACAGAACUAUGAACCUGCUACCUGUAUCAGGUAUGUGGAUGGCUUUUAGACACCCAAAUCACAUUCAAGUUAGAAAUUUUUUUUCUUUUAAAAAAUUUUUAAAUAAAUACAAACAGUAGCGGGUAAUAUACUUAUUAAGGAAAAGAAAAAGACAGUAGGGUUAGCAGGAGGCUUUUAAUAGUCUGGGGAUGCUAAGAAGUUUUAAUAUUGUGACAUAAACCAGUAAAUAUAUAAGUGAUUGUAUUAUAUUUAAUACACUCAUAGGUAAAAACUUCAAAAUGAGCAUGUUAAUUAUUGAAUAGUUUCAAAGUUUGGGUUUAAUUGUUGAAAUGAUAGGGAUUUUUUUAUGCCUGUAUGAUAAGAUAUUUAUUAAAAUAACUUAUUUAGCACAAAUGAAAAUGUUAUUUUUUUUUUUUGAGAUUUAUUUAUUUGAAAGAGUUACACACAGAGAGAAGGAGAGGCAGGGAGAGAGAGAGGUCUUCCAUCCACUGGUUCAUUCCCCAGUUGGCCGCAAUGGCCGGAGCUCUGAAAUCAGGAGCCAGGAGCCUCAUCCAGGUCUUCCCACAUGGAUGCAGGGGCCCAAGGACUUGGGCCAUCUUCAACUGCUUUCCAAGGCCAUAGCAGAGAGCUGGCUAGGAAGUGGAGCAGCCGGGACAUGAACCGGUGCCCAUAUGGGAUGCUGGUGCUGCAGGUGGUGGCCUUACCCACUAUGCCACAGCACCGGCCCUGAAAUGUUAUUUUUAUGUUUUUUUCUUUUUUCUUGAAAUUGGACUUCAGAACUCCUUUGGUGUUUUGACUAUUGUAGUAUAUAUUCCAUGAUGACUGUCCAAAUGGGACACUAGUAUAAACUUUGUUUAUCUACCCAAGUAUUAUAGAACUCUUAGUACAAGGCUCUUAGAUGGAAGCUGUACUUGAGGACAUGACUUAGGCCUGAAAUCCUCUAACUGGUAUGUCAGACUGCCUGAAGACUUAGCUAAGGUUUGUGAAUGUUAGCCUGCAAGAGGCCUUAAGGCAUGCUUCACAUGACCAGUCAGAUGUGGCACUGAGAAAGUCAAAACUUUGUAGAGUUUCUUAAAAAAAAAAAAAAAAAUAGGAGACAAGGAGCUAGCAAGAACAUGGGCCAACAUCUCAGCUGAUCUCACCCUGUAGUAAAAUGUGUCCAGAUGAAUAUAUUAUUUAUCAGAUUUUCACUCAUCCUUGCUGAAAGAGCACUUGAGUAAGGGCUGGAAAGAGACCAUAUGUGUGGAUUUCAAAUUUUUUUUGGCAUUAAAAAACUUAAUUCUAUUUUUCAUGAACUUACUGAAGUAUCAUGUGGGGUAGGUGGUCUUCAGCAGAAAUGCCAGCCUCUCUAUGGGCAGAGACCAAAAUGUAGAGAGAUGGGAGAAAGGAAACCCUCAUUGGUGUAUUUUUUGUCUAUUCCUUCAAGCACAGAUACCAAUUCAUUAAAAUCUAUUUCAAAUCACAAAUUAAUUGCCUGAGUUGGAAUGUUGGAGAUGGAAUCAUGUGAUCUAGAAUGCUCUCUCUCCCCCUAUGCAAAGCCUUUUAUAGUGUUUGCCCCCAGGUAUGAUUCCAUCUUUGGUGAUACACAUUCAUUACAAAUAUUGAUUAGGGUCAGGUGUUGUUCUAGGAUCAAGAGAAAACAAGAAAAAGGCCAGCUCUCUUGGAGUUUAUAUUAAGUGGUUGAAAGUAGACAAAUGUGUUCCUGUGAUAAUAAAGAUAUGAAUAAAUAUUAAGCAAGUUAUGAGGAUAGAAAGUGAGGAGGGUGGGGGUGUUUGCCAAAAUAGAAUUGUUAGGACUUUUUGUAAAAAUUGCAUUUUAGCAGAGACCUGAAGAACUCAAAUGAACAGGCCAUGUAAACAUCUGGGUAAGUAUAAAGAUCAUAUUGUUCCUUCAUAUACUUGAUUUAUUUAUAUUUUUCCUCCAAAAUUAAUAAAUUGUUUUUCUAAGUACAAU